This 97-nucleotide non-coding RNA is filed under the name Eucalyptus grandis. RNAcentral's name for it is "Bacterial small subunit ribosomal RNA". It matches the Rfam family "Bacterial small subunit ribosomal RNA", at positions 1229 to 1325 of the family's 1533-position model. The record is from Rfam by way of RNAcentral. Lineage: Eukaryota; Viridiplantae; Streptophyta; Magnoliopsida; Myrtales; Myrtaceae.
AAUGGCUAGGACAAAAGGUUGCGAUCCCGCGAGGGUGAGCUAACUCUAAAAACCUGUCCUCAGAUUGGAUUGCAGGCUGCAAUUCGCCUGCAUGAAG